Molecule: long non-coding RNA, 243 nt
Filed under: Theobroma cacao (cacao)
Lineage: Eukaryota; Viridiplantae; Streptophyta; Magnoliopsida; Malvales; Malvaceae
Description: long non-coding RNA (TCAC_LNC005020)
Source: RNAcentral
AAUACUCGAAUCCUAUUAACUACCCAAAUAAUUUUAAAAAUUACUACUUUAACCCUAACCAUAAUACAUUUUUACUAACCUAUAAUUACCCUAACUUAUUUAAAACUCGAUUAAAAUAAAAAAAAUUAAAAUGUUCUUUAUGGGUACCAACAAUGGAGCAACAAUAAUAGAGGAUCGGAGCUAUUGGCUAGGGGAAGGAAAGAAUGGCUGGUUGGGGGAAGAAAGGAAGAAUGAGCAACUCGC